GACGAGCGCUGGCGGCGUGCUUAACACAUGCAAGUCGAGCGGUAAGGCCCUUUCGGGGGUACACGAGCGGCGAACGGGUGAGUAACACGUGGGUGACCUGCCCUCAGCUCUGGGAUAAGCCUGGGAAACCGGGUCUAAUACCGGAUAUGACUCCAUGACGCAUGUUGUGGGGUGGAAAGCCUUGUGCGGCUGAGGAUGGGCCCGCGGCCUAUCAGCUUGUUGGUGGGGUGANGGCCUACCAAGGCGACGACGGGUAGCCGGCCUGAGAGGGCGACCGGCCACACUGGGACUGAGACACGGCCCAGACUCCUACGGGAGGCAGCAGUGGGGAAUCUUGCGCAAUGGGCGAAAGCCUGACGCAGCGACGCCGCGUGAGGGAUGACGGCCUGGUU
RNAcentral lists this ribosomal RNA (392 nucleotides) under uncultured bacterium. RNAcentral's name for it is "bacterial SSU rRNA". It matches the Rfam family "Bacterial small subunit ribosomal RNA", at positions 28 to 424 of the family's 1533-position model. The record is from RNAcentral.